AGUUUGAUCAUGGCUCAGAUUGAACGCUGGUGGCAGGCCUAACACAUGCAAGUCGAGCGGCAUCGAGUGAUCGCAGUUUACUGAGUUCAUGUCGGCGAGCGGCGGACGGGUGAGUAAAGUCUGGGAAUCUGGCCGAAGGAGGGGGAUAACUGCUGGAAACGGCAGCUAAUACCGCAUGAAGUCGCGAGACCAAAGUGGGGGACCUUCGGGCCUCACGCCUUCGGAUGAGCCCAGAUGAGAUUAGCUGGUAGGUAAGGUAAAGGCUUACCUAGGCGACGAUCUCUAGCGGGUCUGAGAGGAUAGCCCGCCACACUGGAACUGAGACACGGUCCAGACUCCUACGGGAGGCAGCAGUGGGGAAUAUUGCACAAUGGGCGAAAGCCUGAUGCAGCCAUGCCACGUGUGUGAAGAAGGCCUUCGGGUUGUAAAGCACUUUCAGCGAGGAGGAAGCGAUAAAUGCGAAUACCAUUUAUUUUUGACGUUACUCGCAGAAGAAGCACCGGCUAACUCCGUGCCAGCAGCCGCGGUAAUACGGAGGGUGCGAGCGUUAAUCGGAAUAACUGGGCGUAAAGGGCAUGUAGGCGGUGAGUUAAGUCAGAUGUGAAAUCCCCGAGCUCAACUUGGGAAUGGCAUUUGAAACUGGGUCGCUAGAGUUUUCUAGAGGGGGGUAGAAUUCCAGGUGUAGCGGUGAAAUGCGUAGAUAUCUGGAGGAAUACCGGUGGCGAAGGCGGCCCCCUGGAGAAAGACUGACGCUGAGGUGCGAAAGCGUGGGGAGCAAACAGGAUUAGAUACCCUGGUAGUCCACGCUGUAAACGAUGUCGAUUUGGAGGUUGCGGUCUUGAACUGUGGCGUCCGGAGCUAACGCGUUAAAUCGACCGCCUGGGGAGUACGGCCGCAAGGUUAAAACUCAAAUGAAUUGACGGGGGCCCGCACAAGCGGUGGAGCAUGUGGUUUAAUUCGAUGCAACGCGAAGAACCUUACCUACUCUUGACAUCCACGGAAUUGUGCAGAGAUGCGCAAGUGCCUUCGGGAACCGUGAGACAGGUGCUGCAUGGCUGUCGUCAGCUCGUGUUGUGAAAUGUUGGGUUAAGUCCCGCAACGAGCGCAACCCUUGUCCUUUGUUGCCAGCGCGUAGAGGCGGGAACUCAAAGGAGACUGCCGGUGAUAAACCGGAGGAAGGUGGGGACGACGUCAAGUCAUCAUGGCCCUUACGAGUAGGGCUACACACGUGCUACAAUGGCGUAUACAAAGGGAUGCGAACCUGCGAGGGAAAGCGGAACUCAGAAAGUACGUCGUAGUCCGGAUUGGAGUCUGCAACUCGACUCCAUGAAGUCGGAAUCGCUAGUAAUCGUAGAUCAGAAUGCUACAGUGAAUACGUUCCCGGGCCUUGUACACACCGCCCGUCACACCAUGGGAGUGGGUUGCAAAAGAAGUAGGUAGCUUAACCGCAAGGAGGGCGCUUACCACUUUGUGAUUCAUGACUGGGGUGAAGUCGUAACAAGGUAACCGUAGGGGAACCUGCGGUUGGAUCACCUCCUUAACUAUAAACUCUCACUAUCAGUGUCCACUCACAUUAUCUGAUAAAUCAUGAAAAAAGACGCUGUCCCCUUCGUCUAGAGGCCUAGGACACCGCCCUUUCACGGCGGUAACAGGGGUUCGAACCCCCUAGGGGACGCCACAGAGAUGUGUUCAAAACUAUCUUAAAAACAGCUUCAGUGUUUUCAAGAAAUUGCUCUUUAAAAAUAAGGGAUAAGCAAGAGAUUGUAAGUCAGAAACAAUUUCGGGUUGUAAGGUUAAGUAAUGAAGCGUACAGGGAGGAUGCCUAGGCAGUCAGAGGCGAAGAAGGGCGUGUUAAUCUGCGAAAAGCGACGGUAAGCUGAUAAAAAGCGUGUUAGCCGUUGAUACCCGAAUGGGGCAACCCAGUGCAGAAUAUGCACUAUCGUAAUAUGAAUAAAUAGUAUUGCGAGGCAAACCAGGGGAAUUGAAACAUCUCAGUACCCUGAGGAAAAGAAAUCAACCGAGAUUCCCUAAGUAGCGGCGAGCGAAAGGGGAGGAGCCCGGAGUCACCAUCUUUGCGCAAUUAGGGGAAUCGUUUGGGAAGACGAGCCAUAGAGGGUGAUGGCCCCGUACCUGAAAAUUGCAGCAGAGUGAGCUCGAAGAGUAGGACGGGACACGUGAUAUCCUGUUUGAAGAUGGGGGGACCAUCCUCCAAGGCUAAAUACUCCUGACUGACCGAUAGUGAACCAGUACCGUG
Molecule: ribosomal RNA, 2254 nt
Filed under: Candidatus Williamhamiltonella defendens
Lineage: Bacteria; Pseudomonadati; Pseudomonadota; Gammaproteobacteria; Enterobacterales; Enterobacteriaceae
Description: bacterial LSU rRNA
Rfam family: Bacterial small subunit ribosomal RNA (bases 1-1540)
Source: RNAcentral